GUAGCUGGUCUGAGAGGAUGRYCAGCCACACUGGAACUGAGACACGGUCCAGACUCCUACGGGAGGCAGCAGUGGGGAAUAUUGGACAAUGGGGGCAACCCUGAUCCAGCAAUGCCGCGUGUGUGAAGAAGGCCUGAGGGUUGUAAAGCACUUUCAGYGGGGAGGAGGGUUGUUAGGUUAAGAGCUGAUUAAWUGGACGUUACCCACAGAAGAAGCACCGGCUAACUCCGUGCCAGCAGCCGCGGUAAUACGGAGGGUGCGAGCGUUAAUCGGAAUUACUGGGCGUAAAGGGUGCGUAGGUGGUUGAUUAAGUUAUCUGUGAAAUCCCYGGGCUUAACCUGGGCACGGCAGAUAAUACUGGUGAACUCGAGUAUGG
This 376-nucleotide ribosomal RNA is filed under the name uncultured Legionella sp. RNAcentral describes it as "bacterial SSU rRNA". It matches the Rfam family "Bacterial small subunit ribosomal RNA", at positions 283 to 651 of the family's 1533-position model. The record is from RNAcentral. Lineage: Bacteria; Pseudomonadati; Pseudomonadota; Gammaproteobacteria; Legionellales; Legionellaceae.